This is a long non-coding RNA of Eupeodes corollae, 1030 nucleotides long. RefSeq lists it as uncharacterized. NCBI's taxonomy places the organism in Eukaryota, Metazoa, Arthropoda, Insecta, Diptera, Syrphidae. The transcript has 5 exons. The record is from RefSeq and is a predicted model, not a curated record.
UUGAAAAAACGAUAGACUCUACUCGAAACCAAAGUACGUAACUACGUACGUUUAAAAAAAGAAUCUCGUAAACAAAAGAAUAUUUAUGUUGCUUUGUUUCAGCUACUGAUUACUCUAAUAAUAUACUUUACUACCAACUCAAGAAGAUGUACAUAGGAAUAAAAAUCCACUUUAUUAGCAUCUUCUAAGUGUUUUCAUUUCGGGUGCUGCCGAUUACAAACCAUGAUAUAGAAAGCAAUUUUUCUCAAGAAAUUUGGAAGGUUUGCUCAAAACAACACCACCAGAAUCACGAAUUCAGUUCCGAAUUAGCGAUCAUCCUCAGCUACAGCUAAGUCAUCGACUUUGUGAAAUUCAAUUCAAUGGUGCAAGGGAAAGCUUUGACAUUCAAUAGUCGACCACCCAGUGUUGCAUGAAAAUCAGCUGCCAAGAAGUAUGGUACAAGCCGAUAAAAAAAACGACUCUUGCAGCUGCAACUAAAGCAACAUCUUCUGGUUUCAUGGAGUGCAACAGCACAUGAGGUUCAGUUGUAUAUAGACCGAUGCUUGUAACGCCAAAUAUCUCGCUAAAGAACGGCAAGGACACUGCUGACCGAGUCAUCGGCUACUGCGGCCACUUUAGGCCGAAGCAGACCACGUAGAUAAUGAAAUGAAAGUCGACAUUGAGUCAACCUGCUGGGAGGACACCUCCUAAAUGACGGGAAUCAAAACCAUUGACAGAAAAAAUAGAAGCCGAAUUCCUAAAUACGCAAUGCUUAUUGAAUCAAGAACUAACUGGAAUCACUUAGAAGACCAUCGAACACAUGAACUGCCACAAUUUUUUAAUCAACGGAUCGAAUUACCAGCAGGAGUUUUAUAAUUAUAAACCAAUGAACUUGCUACAAUUUAAUUGUGCGUCCAUUGACCAGAAGGGUUAUGAUGGCAAGACUACUUCAAACAACAAAUCGAAGCGGUAUUGCAACAAAUCCUGAAAGAAGAUGAUUAUAGUCGACAACAUGCUUUAAAUCUCAUACCUUAAUAAUCAAGGUUCGCGG